GAGCGGCGUACGGGUGCGGAACACGUGUGCAACCUGCCUUUAUCUGGGGGAUAGCCUUUCGAAAGGGAGAUUAAUACCCCAUAAUAUAUUGAUUUGCAUGAAUUGAUAUUGAAAACUCCGGUGGAUAGAGAUGGGCACGCGCAAGAUUAGAUAGUUGGUGAGGUAACGGCUCACCAAGUCGAUGAUCUUUAGGGGGCCUGAGAGGGUGAUCCCCCACACUGGUGCUGAGACACGGACCAGACUCCUACGGGAGGCAGCAGUGAGGAAUAUUGGACAAUGGGUGAGAGCCUGAUCCAGCCAUCCCGCGUGAAGGAUUAAGGACCUAUGGUUUGUAAACUUCUUUUUUACAGGGAUAAACCUAGAUACGUGUAUCUAGCUGAAGGUACUGUAAGAAUAAGCACCGGCUAACUCCGUGCCAGCAGCCGCGGUAAUACGGAGGGUGCAAGCGUUAUCCGGAUUUAUUGGGUUUAAAGGGUCCGUAGGCGGAUCGGUAAGUCAGUGGUGAAAUCUCAUAGCUUAACUAUGAAACUGCCAUUGAUACUGUCGGUCUUGAGUGUAUUUGAAGUAGCUGGAAUGAGUAGUGUAGCGGUGAAAUGCAUAGAUAUUACUCAGAACACCAAUUGCGAAGGCAGGUCACUAAGAUACAACUGACGCUGAUGGACGAAAGCGUGGGGAGCGAACAGGAUUAGAU
Molecule: ribosomal RNA, 691 nt
Filed under: uncultured bacterium
Lineage: Bacteria
Description: bacterial SSU rRNA
Rfam family: Bacterial small subunit ribosomal RNA
Source: RNAcentral